CGUUGACGGACAGCGUAGGGAUAAGGUAGUUGGUUAAACGUAAUUGAAACACCUUUUUGAGUCUAUCACAUUGCUGGGGACUACAUUGUCCUCCACUUUAUUUUGAAUGAAAUAAAAUGACUUAUUCUACUUAUCAACCAGUAUUAAUUAUUCAAUAAUAGUAUAAAGUGAUAUAAUAACUAUUAUUGCCUGAGAAUUAAAGUUAAUUAUUUUAGCUGUAAAUUCUAUAAACUACAGGGUAGUGUGAUAUUUUCACAAGUACAUAAAAGUUGAUUUUUCACAAAGGUAAUAAGAAAUGAGAACAACGGCUAGGUGGCAGUUUAUGCGGGGCACAGAUCCCAUAAAGAGUAGCUGGGUAUAUCCUAAUUCCGAAAAAUUUGGGGAAAAAAUUAUAUAUUUUCUUUUGAGUCUUUAUUUAAUAUAUAAAUUUUAUAUAAAUUUAAUAUUUCGCCGAUCGCUUAUGGCGGUUGACCGAUUUUUAAGAUGAAUUUAUAGAUAAGUAGAUAAGAUAUAUUACUUAUCUCUAUCUAUAUUUAAUCACUAUCUUUUUAUUUAAAAUAAAUUUUAAUUUUAAAGCAAGUAAGAUUUUAACUAUAUCGAGGAUAGGUGUAAUAAAUAAAAUUCACAUUUUCUAAUCUUUUGCGGACUCGUUCUGUCUAGGAUGAAUUGCAUGAUAAUUAGAAGAUGUAAUAUGUAUUUAAAGUUGCUAAAAUCCAAUAUUUCAAUAUUGUGAAUAGUGAUUUUGAUAAUUACUUGUCAAGUUUAAUGGCAUAAUCUUGCUUAACUGUCUGACCUACGCGUCUAUCAGUCGCGUAAGCGGGGCAUACGAUCACGGAAUGCACAAAGGACUGGUUCCGUAUUAUAGAUAAAU
Molecule: ribosomal RNA, 871 nt
Filed under: Orbilia cladodes
Lineage: Eukaryota; Fungi; Ascomycota; Orbiliomycetes; Orbiliales; Orbiliaceae
Description: Arthrobotrys cladodes partial large subunit ribosomal RNA
Source: RNAcentral